RNAcentral lists this long non-coding RNA (8884 nucleotides) under Musa acuminata (dwarf banana). RNAcentral describes it as "long non-coding RNA (MACU_LNC005148)". The record is from RNAcentral. Lineage: Eukaryota; Viridiplantae; Streptophyta; Magnoliopsida; Zingiberales; Musaceae.
AGCAAUUGAUCAUCAGAGUAUAGAUUAUGAUGCAUCAGUAUUUCCAUCCUCGGUGUACAUUCAUCCAGACUUUGGACAACUACACUAAUAAACAUAUACAAAUACCUUAAAAUUCAGUUGAACAAAGAGAAGACAAGCUCCUAAAACAGCACCCACAAUUUAAUAUUGCUAACUGGCGAAAUACCAAAAAUUUUAAUGGCAACUGAUGCAACAUGAUCCAGCAAGUAUAUAAUAAGUCGAAAAAAAAUAAAUGUAGCAGCAAACUGAAAAACAGAUCAAUCUCAUCCCCUGCAUGUUUGCGUAGGUAAAGUAACAAGACAAAACAACAAUCUUAUUGUUGCUUAUAGCUAACAUUAACAUCCAGAAAAGGAGAUUGUUCAAUAAUCAUGAGUGGCAGACAAGCUGAACGCUUUAUAGUUAAAACAAUUUUGCUUAUUCUAACAAAGAUAUACACUGCAGCAGAGUUAAAUCAGCAUAUUUAAUCAGAUGCCUCUAAUAAGAAAGCAAACAGAGAGUAAAAUAUAUCAAAAUGCAUAUAUGCAGAAAGAUCUAAAAUUUAAAUGAUGUCCAGCGACAUUUUAGACAAGGAAUAACACCAAUUCAAGUAUUAAUCUGUUCCUACAACACAGGUUACUAACCAAACUCUGGAUUUGAUGCUAGAUUUAUCUGUGAGCAUAAAAAUCACCAUGAUGUUAUUAUUAUAUAAAAAAUUUUAAUGUUAAAAUUCUGAAAUCAUAUAACAAUAGAUCAAACUUACGACGUGUACCUUACAAUGUCAUUCAUGAAGCUUUUAUCUGUUCUACGGUGCACCGUCAUUAGAUCCGAAAGAUAUAGCAAUGCUGAUUUGUAAGGAGAACUAGACUCGCAUUCUUCUCUCUUUCUAUCCUUCACAUGACCGCUAUAAAUGAUAAAUCAAAGAUAAAGGGGAGAUGAGAGAAAAUCUAUAAUCUCUUAAUGAUUAAUUCAUGUGAUUAAGAGAAGAUGAGAGAAGAUUUGUAAUAUCUUAAUAAUGUCAUGUAUCUCCGUCUCCUCUUAUAUGUAUAUCCACAUAUCCAUGUAUUGUAUUUUUAGUCUUUAGUAGGUCUUGUCUAUCUAUAGGCGAGAGUAGAGAAUUUAAUAUAAGUAAUUAGGAGAGUCCCUCCCAUCAAGGUUAUCUCUUGAGGAAUCAUACUAUAAUUGGACUUCUUUUCUAUUGCCGAUAACAAUUCAAUUAUAUUCAUAAUAUGUCUUACCUAAUUACACGUAUAUACAAAUUUUAUAAAACAGACCAAAAAUCCAAUAAACAUAAUAUCACAUUAAGUUCGACCAUCAAUACCAGUCAUAGUAAUUGCAUGUCAUCAAUGUCAUACUUCCUUCUAUGUACUAUAACACUAUUGACUCUUCCUAAUAUAGUCUAAAAUAACUCAUGUAAUUUAUCUUAUCAAAAUAAUCCUAUUAGCACAUUUAACCAUAAUAUGUACAUAUAUAAAUAUGAAUAUGAUAAUAGAAACAAAUAACUUUAGUUACGUAAAUAAGAAUAUCAAUUAUAAUGUCCACUCAUGUAUCAUCAUAUCUUUUAUGGGUUGCUCACAAACCCAAUUACAAGAACAUAUUCUUUCAAACACUUUAGAUUGUAAGUCCUAAGUGAACGAAUCAACAAUCAAUAUAAUAGAACUCAAGUCUUUAAUUGACAUUAAUUAUUUUUUAACUCUUUGUCUUUAACUAUCAAGUACUUUAUACUAUAAUGCAUAGAGCUACAAUAAUACUUACAAUUCUUAGAAAAAAAACUACUAUGAUAUAUCAUAAAGUAUCCUUAGCGACUUAAUAAUUAAGUCUAACCAUACCAAGUCUUGAGAUAAAAUUUUACAAUUAUAAAGCUUGAUUAGUUGUCUCAAAGCAUACCAUAAAAUUAGCUUCUUUUAUUAAUAAUAUAAUAAUAUAUUAUUUUAUAAUUUUCUCUAUAAAUUAUCUCUUGAUUUGAUAUAUAUAUAUAUAUAUAUAUAUAUAUAUAUAUAUAUAUAUAUAUAUAUAUAUAUAUNNNNNNNNNNNNNNNNNNNNAUAUGUGAGCAUAUAAUCAUUCGUCCCUUCCAAAUAUCUUAUUACUUUCUUUUAUAUUUUUUAGUUUUUUCAUUCCUAGGUAAUUUUAAUAUCUAUCUAAUAUUUUAAUUAUAAAAUUGAUAUCUGAUGUAGCAUAGGCUUAAGCAUAAAAUAAACUUUCAACUAUACAUAUAUAAAAAUAAUUUUUUUAUCUGAUUUUUUAAAGUAAUUUUAAAAAUAUUUGUUUUAACUAAAAUUUUAUUUUUAUCAUUUGCUGAACAAAGUUGUAUAUUAAACAUUUCCAAAACUUGGUUAAUAUAUCUUUUCUAAUAGUCCUAACAAUUCUUAAUAUCUAUCCUUAAAUAUCUUAAUAUUAAUAAUAUAAAAUAUCAUUCAUAUCAAUCAUAUUAAAAUUCUUGUUGAGAAAUUUCUUAGUUCAAUACAAUAAACCAAGAUCACUACUAACAAAUAAAAUAUUAUUCAUAUAUAAGACUAAUAUAAUAAACUUACUCUUACUGAUCUUUAAAUAUAGAUGUUGAUUAAUAGUAUUUUUCUUAAAUCUAAAAAGAGUAAUGAUAUCAAGAAACUUUAUAUACCAUUGUCUAAAGGUUUGUUUAAGGUCAUAAAUGGAUUUUUUGAAUUUAUAUAUCAAAUUUUAUAUUUAUUUUAUUUGUUUAUGAAUUAUUUAGGUUAUCCCAUAUAAAUCUAGAUCCUCAUUUAGAAAACUUAUUUUCACAUUCAAAUGAUGUAACUCAAAAUUAUAAUAAAUCACUAAUAUCAUGAUGAUUCUUAACGAAUUUAUUUAAAAAAUUAAAUAAAUUAUCUUAUUAUGGUUGAUGCAUUCUUUAUGAGUAAAAUCUUUAUGAGUAAGAUCUUAAUUUUAACUCUUCUUUUAUUGUAUUAUAUCAUUUUUUAGAAUCAUUAUUUUUCAUGACUUAUGAAAAUAAUGAGGGAUCAUUUUGAUUUCUAUAUCAUAAUCUAAUUCUGAUAGAUAAAUCACAUAAUAAUUAGAAAUGAUGUCUUCUUUACCUUUGAGAUAUUUUUAAGACUAUCGAUUGUGAUUAUUUUAUAAGUUUAUUAACAAUGAUAUCAAUAUUACGUGGGAGUUUAUUAUUCACCUUUAUCAAAUCAUUUAGUGAUUUGAGGAACAAUAAUCUCUUGAAUAUAAAAUGAUAAAGGAGUAUCAACAUUUAUCUUCUCUAUAUCAAAAAUUAAUCUUUUUAAGAUUUUUUACUCCCACUAAUUUGUUAUUUUUUAGGUAUCUUAUAUUACCAGAUUCAACUAUCCUCGUACUAUAAUUAGAGUAAUAAAAUCUAUACCCUUUUAUUUUUUCUAGAUAACUAAUAAAAUAUCUAUAAAUAAUCAUUGAAUCUAAUUUUUUUUCAUGUGAAUUUGAAAAUCAUUAUCUCUCAAAAUAAUCAUAAAUAUGUAAAUAUCUCAAGUUGAGUUUUCUACUAUUCCAUAACUCAAAAAAGUUGAUAUAAUUGACUUAUUAGGAAUCUUAUUUAAGAUAUACAUAAAUGUCCUUAAAGCUUCUCCUCACAUUAUAUCUAGUAUAAAAGAAUAAUUUAUCAAGCUCUCAUAAUAGUAUGAUUUCGCCUUUCAGUAAUCUUAUUCUACCGUGACACAUUUGAUAAAACAUACCGAGCAUAAAUAUCCUAUUUUUUUUAGAAAUCUAAUAAAAUUUAUCACCCAUGUUAGAUCUAAUAAUUUUUAACUUUUCUAUCUAAUUAUUUCUUGACUUUAUUUAUGUACACCUAAAGGUGUCAACAGUUUGAGACCUUAGAUAGUCAUAUUUUAACAGAUAAUUUUUAAAGAUAUAAAAUAUCUCUCUCCAUUGAAAUAGGAAACAUGAAGUGACACAUAGAUAUAAAGUAUAUAUAAUCUCAAGGAGCUCAUGAAACUAAGUUUCAUUCCAAUAUUUGAUUAGAUGAUCAUUAUAAACUUAAGAUUCACAUUAAUUUUGUAUAAACUAUUAUAUAAAAUUCAAAAUUUUAACUUUUAUUGAGUUUACAACCGUAAAAAAUAUAUAUCCUGAUAAUUCCAAAUAAUGAACUUAAAUUUCUAGAAUUAUAAGAACAUAAUAUACAUCCUCAAGAUCCAUCAAAUGAAUCAUUUCUAAACAUAUGUGAUAAAUUUCAAUUACUAUCACUUUCACUUAAAGAUAAUUUCUUAUAAUGAUGAUGAAAUUCUUGGGGAGUUAUACGUUUAUGUAUUGAUAAGACCAUUCACUAUUUCUUAAAGCCCCCAUAUGAACCAUAUAGCAAAGAGAAACCAUGCGAAAUAGAAGAGCUUGCCCUACCUAUGAGUAAAUAUUUCAUAGUAGCCUCAUUAGACCGUACAUCUCUCUUGGUAUAUCUAGAAUAGGUAGGAAUAUAAACUAUAAACUGAAACAUUCUGAAGCUACAAAGAUAGUUAUUAAAUUAUUAGUACCACAUUUCAUUCUCUUUUGGUUUCCAUGAUAAAUUAAAUCUCUUUUAUUGAUAACAUAUGUUGAAGCAUUAGAAUCAAUCCAUCAAGUAUUAAAAAAUAAUUUUUGUAAUAUUUGAUUCGAAAUAUACAAAGGUCAGAUUUAUAUUUUUCCCUUUGGAACCAAACUCUAUAGUUCUUCUUCACAUGACCUGACCUUCCUUGCCAUAGAAGUAGCAUUUUACUAUGAAGAUUUUUUUUUAUAAGUAUAUUUAGUAUUUAUAAACUUAAGUGAUUUAUAUUUUAAUUAUUUUUUAUUAUUACUUACUCGUUAAGUAGUACUUCAAAUAUUACGAGUCUUUUCUACUUUAAUCUUAAUUUCUUUCCAAACACAUAUACUAGUCAACUUAUUUAAGUUUUAUUUAUCCUUAAUUUUAUUGUGAUGAAUUUUAAAUGAGCGAAACUAAGAAGAAAUAGAAUUAAAAAUAAAUUAUAUGAGAAAGAAUUCAACUAUAUUUAUGCUCAAUAUUCUUGACUUUAUAAUUUUAUCAACCAUAUUAAGGAUAUAAUCUUGAGUUUCUCAAAUAUUAUCAUUUUGAAUUUCAGUUAGUUCUUUUAUUAAGGUAUCAACUAAUGACUUAUCUUAAAUUUAAAUUAAUUUUUAAAAUAUUUUAGUACACUAAUUAUAAAUUAUAAUGAAGUCUGAAUAUUAUUAGUAAUUAUCAUAAAACUAAGUCUUUUAGAUAUUUUUUGAUCAGUUAUCUCAAUUAUUCAUUUCAUAGAACUUUCGAUAGUUAAGUCUGUGGUCUUUUCAACUGAUCAAAGUCUAAUACACCUAGUGUAAAUUACAUAUGUUGAAGUCAUUUAUAAUAAUUUAAUCCAAAAAAUAUAAGGAUAUUUAUCAUAAUAUAAUGAAGGAAGCACCACUAUAAAAAAAAUAAUAUUACUACCUUGAGUUUUUCAAUAAGUAUUGAACUAUUGAUAUUGUCUCUAUUUUAUCUUUGGAUGAAAUAUUGAUAUAUGUAGUAUUCAUAUAAAAAUAUUUAUGGAGGAUUGAUACUAUUCUCAUAAAAUAGUUUUAUUACCUUUAGAUAUAUAAUAAUAAAUAAUAAAGAUAUCUAAAAUAGUAUCAUUCUAUCUCAUCACAUAAUUAUUCAAAAUAAAUUAAUCUUUAUGAUUAUCUAAAUUUUCUAAUUAUAUGUGUCAUUAUAAAUUUUAUUUUUUUAAUAUUAUUUAUAAUUAAUUUUUUAAUAUAAUUUUAUAAGUUAUUGGUCUAGACCACUUUGGUGACUACAAGACCAAUAUAAUAAUAUAAAAUAUUUUAUAAACGAUAAGACCUUUAUUUUAAUUUACAUCUCAUAAGUUUACUAUUUUAGACCACUUUGACAGCUACUAAUCAAAUAAAACUUAGGGAUACGAGUUAUAAAUAAUAUUUAUUAAUUUUUUAAUCUAAUUUAUGUUAAAAUAAUUUAAUAAUAAUAAUCAUAAUAAUUAUUGAAUAUUAAUCAGCAUAAAGAAAAACUCAUAAUCAUGAUAAAGAAUAAAUCAUACUUUUAUGUGAAUAACCAAAUAAAUAUCCAAGAAUAAUAAUUAGAGUUUUUAAUUAUCACAUGUAAAAUUGUAUCAAUAUGAUGUAUGAGAAAACUAUAAAUAAAAAUUAUUAUAUAUUUUUUAAAAAUUUCGUAUGAAACCCUUAUACCAAUCAACCAUAUUUAAUUAGGUAGACUAAAAAUUAGGCUACCCAAAUUGGGCUUAUAAAUUUACGUCGACCAUUUGCUUGAUUAGCUCAUUAGGAUUAAAGCUGAUAAAAAUAAAAAAUUAUUUUAAAUUUGACUUCUCUCCUAAUUCAAUCAAAACUUAAUUGAUUGAAUCUAAAUCUAGUUAAGUAAUUAAAAUACAAUAAUGAUCAAGUCAGAUCAAAAUAUUUAAUUAAAAUAAAAUAAAUUAAUCAAUUCUAUAAUUGAAGUCAUGAGUUAAAAAAUUUUAAUUUCUAAAAAGUAAAACUAUAGUUUUUACUUAGGAUAUAUAAAGAAAACUUUUGAUUUUUUAAGGAUAAAAUUAUCAAAAAGAUAUAAAUUAGAAUUAAAUAAAUUUACAAGGGUAAAACUAUAAUUUUAUAAGAAAUCAUAAUGCCAACCACCCUUACAUUCAUCGUCGUCGCCGCGCAUUCCACCAUGCCCACACGCAUGAGUCAAUAAUUGUCGUGCAUGCAUCGCCCGUCAUCCAUAGAUUACGUGCAGCCCAUCGCCUGUGGUGGGGCGGUUGUUAUCACACGAUCGACCGAUGACCUCAGACGAUCAAUCGACAACCUUGUCAGUCGUUUCGGUUUGUCGCCGCAUUCCUCAUAGGUGGAAUGCCUUUGCAGUGCAUCGUCAAUCGCGUGGUUGUGCACAUGCACCGAUUAGUACCCUCCAUGAUCGUCGCGGCGCACAACUAUGCUUGCAUGUCUUGCUGCGUAGCCAUUGGAAACCAUGGCCUUUAGCGUCCAGUUAAUAUCGGCCAUGGCUAGCAAGCACAGUUACCGUAUGUAGCGACGCUGUGUAGUCGUUGUACAUAGUAACACUACAAAGCGCAACCACCACGUGUAAUGGUGCUACUACAACUGUUGCACACAAUAAUGUUGCGCAACUAUCGUAGGGUUGUCGCACUCCAUAGUGCUUGUAUUGGGUAUGCAACUAUUGCGUGCAAUUAUGUUGACAACCACCGAAGGUCGUUGCCCUCAAUAAUACUAUUGUUGAUAGUAAGCUAUUAACAGUGAUCCAUUGAUCAAGCACGAGGAAUCUCACAUCGCCCGCAAGUAGGAUAAGAUAAAUUGGAUAGAAAAAAACAGAUUGGCAACAUAGAUGAAUCGUUUAUGCAUCAUACGCUAGCAAAAAGAGUUAACAAAUAGAUCUAAAGUAUUUGAUUUCAUAAAUAUGACUCUGAUACCAAUUGUAAGUAUAAAAACCAUCCUUAUACUUCUGUUAUGUGAAAAAUUUUAAUACCAAAAUCUGAAAUCAAAUAACAAUAUAUCUAAAUUUACAAUGUGUACCUUUCGAUGCCAUUCAAAAAGCUUUUAUUUGAUUUACAAGUGCAUAAUCGUCGGAUCCAAAAGCUAUAGCGAUGCUGAUUUGUAGAGGAUAUAGAAUAAGUAAUUAGGAGAGUCCCUCUCAUCAAUCUCCUGAGGAAUCCUACCAUGAUUGAACUUUUUUUUUAUUAGUCGAUAACCGUAAUCAGAAUCUAAUCAUUUUUAUAAUAUAUCUUAUCUAAUUAGAUAGGACUAUAUAAUAUAACAUUAUCAACUAAAACAGAAGUAAACAAGACAAUGAUAAAUUUCAACGACUAGAGUUUUAUCCAUCGAUGAGUUCAUGAUCAAACCUCUAUGAUUUUAACCCAUGCAAAAAAUUCUAAAAAAUCAAUUGUAGCAUUAAGAUUUAAAGUAUUACCUUUUGGAGGAUUCUAAAAUUUUUAUCUUUUAUCUUUUAAAUAAAUUAAUUAGAUAAAAUUUUAAAGAUAAUAAUCUCUUGAUUUAAAUUGUUAUUCUAUACCUAUAAAUAAAUGACAUUUAUGUGUAUAAAUUUAUUCAGAUCUAUAGAGCUCUAAGUUAAAGAGUAUUUAAGAUCUUAUAAAUAUUAUUUUUAGUUCAAUAUAAUUUUUUCUUUUAAAUUUUAAUUUUUCUUCUUUUAUUUCGUUUGGUAUUGGUUAAUAACAUCCAAUUAUUACUAUUUGAGAAAUGAUUGCAGAGCACUCUCUUUCUUCACAUCUGUAUCUUUUAACACUUUGACGAGAGUAAAUUUGAUCCACAUCAAAGCACUCAUUUCCAAUAUCUCAUUACCAGUAUUUGAAACUACCUCUUUACCUACUUAGAGCUUCCAGCCCCGGAAUUGUUAUUGAUCACCAAUCGACUUGCCUUGGCUCCCUAACAACCCGUCGACUUGGUUUUUGACGGCAUGACAUUCUUCCUCAACGUGGGUGGCGGACGGCGGAGGAAGAGAGAUCGAGUUUGAGUACAGCGUACCAGUCGACGUGGUUGUUGGCGCGACGCCAAGAGGCGAAGAUGAUGUCGGCGAAGACGAUGGCCUGGUUUCCGCUACGGAUGGGGCACGGGAUCCACAUAGCGAUGCUCCAGCCACCGCGCCGCCCCCUCCCGGCAUCCGCGACGGCCGUCAGUGUUCAUCGCUUGAACUCCAACGGAAACACUUUCAACGGAGGGUCAUUUCAGUCUUUUCAACUGGGAGACCCAGCGUCCUCGUGUUGGGUCCCUUCCUUACCCGCAAGAGGGUAUGGCGUGCGUCAGUUGAACCCGAGACCACAUCAUCCCUGUUGUGCGUCCCAUCCUUACUGUAAGAGGGCAUGGUGUGGGUCACUGAUCCCAGGACCCCACCGUCCUUGUGUCACACCGUGUUCCUAUCUUUCCUUUUACAUUUGUUUUAGUAUUUAAUUUCGUUUAGAUAUGCAGCAUAAAUGAGAAAAACAUGAA